GGAGCGGUAUGGCUCAGUGGGAAAGCACAUGCUUUCCAUGCAUGAGGUCAGAGGUUCAGUUAAAAGAUCCAGCUGGCAUCUCCA
This 84-nucleotide transfer RNA is filed under the name Sphaerodactylus townsendi. RNAcentral describes it as "tRNA-Gly". Lineage: Eukaryota; Metazoa; Chordata; Lepidosauria; Squamata; Sphaerodactylidae. The record is from RNAcentral.